CGCCUGUCAAUCGAGAAGCUGAGACAGGAAGAUCCCUGCGAGUUCGAGGCCAGCCUGGACUGCAAAGUGAGUUCAAGGCCAGCCUCAACUGCAGAGCGAGACCCUGUCUCAAACAAACAAACAAACAAACAAACAAACACAAAAAAUACAAAAAACAAAACAAACGCCUAGCUCAGAAACGUUAUACCAGGCGCUACCAAACAAGGCAGUGGACGCGCCAAGUGGACGCCACUUCCGGUCAUGCGCAUGAGGCCCAUACCACCCACUGGACUUCAUUUCCCAGAAAUCUCUACAGUUUGUUUCAGGCCAAAACUCUUUCUCCUCUAGCUGUCAGUUUAUAAUCUGCUCUGCCCCCUGGACUGUACUUGGUAGAGAAGUUUCCGUUUAUUCUCGCUCCCACAAUCCACUAUCCAUCAUGAUUUUUUGUUGUACAUUUUUCAAUUGCGCGGAAUCCAAGAGAGAGGAACUGAGGGCGGGAAGCGACGUGGCCGCCAAGGAUCCUGGGAACGUUUGCUGUGGCGCAUGUGCAGACGUGUGCUGGCGCUGGGAGGCUGCGGCUGGGUUCCUGUCCUCCUUAUCCUUCAGCUCCAGGCCUAAUGGUGGGACUGUGGCUACCCAACUAGGAAAUUUAAGGCAAUGGGCUCAACUGGAUCCUGGAGUGUCAGAGGUCAAGGGUCCCCAGACUUACUGUAAUGGACAGCAGAAGCUGAACAAUGACCAGAGUAAUCUGACACAUGCAGAUGGUGCUGGCUGAUUAGCUGUGGUCUUCCCAAAAGUGAAGUUGACAGACCUCUCCAUGUGGGCAGAGGAUAUAAGAAUAUUUGUUUCCCACAUAAAUGUUCACCAAAAAGUGACAUUUACAGGACUUUAAUAUUCAAGUAGGUAAGAUGACCCAUUCCAUGGACAGUGGUCAGCCUCCUUCUUCAGCCACCCAAUCAUUGCCCAAUGGGACCAUGAACAGAGUGGCUGUGGUGGCAGGGAAGGAAGUUAUGCAUGGUCUCAGCAACAUGGGCGCCCAGUCACCAAGGCUAAUCUGGCUACAGCCACUGCUGAAUGCCCAGUAUGCCAGUAGCAGACACCAAGACAUUGUUCCCUGGAGUGAUCAACCUGCAACCUGGUGACAGUGGAUUAUAUUGGGUCACUUUCAUCAUGGGAGAGACAGCGCUUUGUUCUCACUGGCAUGGAUACAAAUCCUGCAUAUGGAUUUGCCUUUGCUGCACAUAAGGCUUCUCCUAAAACUACCAUCUGUUGACUCACAGAAUGCCUUAUCCACCAUCAUGGAAUUCCACAUAGCAUUGCCUUUGAGCAAGGAACACAUUCUGCAGCCAGGAGUGAGGCAAGGGGCUCAUGAUCAUGGGAUUCACUGGUCUCAUCAUUCCCUCACCAUCCCAGAGCUGCUGGACUGAUAGAAAGGUGGAAUGGUCUUUUGAAGACACACUUAAGGCACCAGCUAGGUGGCAGUAGCUUGCAGGGCUGGGCUAAGGUACUUGGAAAUGCUGUGUAUGCUUUGAAUCAGCAUCCACCCUAGGGUACUGUGGCUCCUGUAACCAGGAUUCAUGGGUCCAGGAAUCAAGGGGUGGGAGUAGGAAUGGUGCCACUCACCAUCACCCCUAGUGAUCCACUAGCAAAGUUUUUGCUUCCUGUCCCCGUGACUUCAUGUUCUGCUGGCCUAGAAGUUUUGGUUGCAGAGGGGGAAGGCUUAUACCAGGAAACACAAGGAUGAUACCACUGAACUGGAAGCUAAGACCUCCCCCUGGUCAUUCUGGUCUCCUCAUUUCUCCGAGGAAACAAGCUAAACAAGGAGUCACAGUGUGUCAGGGGUGAUUGACCCAGACUACCAAGGGAAAAUUGUACGACUCCUCCACAUUGCAGGAAAAAGAAUAUACAUGGGAUAUAGAAGAUCCUUUGGGGCACCUCUUAGUAUAACCAUGCCCUGUUACUAAAGUCAAUGGGAAACUAGAAUGACCUAAUAUAAGCAGAAUAACAAAAGGCCCAGAGCCUUCAGGGUCACUCCAUCAAAGAACCAAGACCCACUGAGAAGAAGGUAUUUCUAAAUGUCGCUAAGACCCAUGAUCAGCUAUAGAAAAGAGAGUUGUAACUGUACUAUUUCUCCCCUAAUAUGGUUCUGGUUUUAUGUAACAUAAUGUUGAUGGACUGAACACUGGUUUUUAAGGGUUGUUAAGAUGUGUUAUAAUGUUCAAGUUAUAAAAUGAUAAGAAGAAGCAUCAACCAAGGAAAACUCACUUUUUAGUCUGGUGAGGGAAUAAGUACCAUUUCUGUUUGUAUGCAGGACAUUUUUAACAUGUCAGGCAAAAUUGUAAGCAUGUCUCUGUAUCUGGAGGCUCAUGUAAAGCAAUGUGUCUGGCUGCCAAGUUGCCAAGGGGUGGAUAAUAAUGGCUGACACAAUUUUGUCAACUUGAGAAGGUCAGAAGUUUAACUAAGUGAUUCAGCAGGGGGCCAGGGUCCUUAUUUUGUAACAUCCUCAGCCUGUGCAACAGGAGGGUGUUUGGAGCCUUGAAACUGGAAACUGAAUACACGUGCAGGGCUGAGGCAUGGCCUGAGCAUGGCGGACCUGAGAAGCAGGAGACGCCUCAAAGGCAAGAUAAGGUCACAGCUGAGGACACCAGGCCCCAACUCCAAUUAACUAUAAAGACUGUAGCAAAUGCAACAUGGAGAUCUUCUCCUAAAAUACUUCUCCUAAAUUAACAUAAUGUUGUUCUCCUAAAUUAAACAUGAUCUGUCACUUGGAAAAGUCCUUGAAUCCCAAGGUCUGUUCAGUUUCCUAUGUUUUCAAUUCUAACCCCUUCCUUGUUUGAACAACUAAAUAAAUACGGGCUGCCCAGAGACAUUCCUUGUCUUAAGCCCCAGAGUCUUGAACUCUGCAGAGGGUUUUGAUCCUCCUGGAGUAUUGUAAACCCAAAUAAUGAGUUCAGUCAUCCAAGUAAUGUAAUCCUCUUUCUAGUUUUCCUCACAAUCCAGAAACUUACAUUUGUGAUCCCACUGAGACGUUAUUGGAAUUCCAGCAAGUUGAUUCCCAUCUACCACCACCAAUGCAACCCACAGCAAGAGUAAAGACACCAAGACAGACUCCAAGUUAAGGGUGGCCAAGGGGUCCUAAAUCCAAUCCUUGUGAGGACAUGCAAAUAAAGGCCUUGAUCUUAAGCCUUUCCUAGCAUUUAUUAUCUUGUGAAGAAGGGGGGUGGCUCAGGGAUGAGUGAUAGUAAGGAUGGCAGGAAUUAGGUGAGUAAUUUGAACUGGCUGGCCAGGUGCAAGAUUGGCAUUUCUGUAGGAGAUAAAGAUAUGCAGAAGGAUCAAUUUACAUAAUCCAAUUAAGGUAGCAGGGGAAUUGUUUUGGGGGGCUACGCUUGGGUUUCUGAUAGGCAAACUCUUGUGCCCUGGGGAGUCAUACCUUCUUAUCUUGAGGCUCAUACUCAGUUGACCUUCCCAGAGCUGUUUGCUCUAAGGUCUUGAGUGCUCAAUCCUGUACACCGAGAACACUAUGUGAGGAAACAGGACUGUCUGUUGGCUAAAGAUAUUGCAUAUUAGCACCUCCACUAGCCUUAUUUGCAAUGCUUAGAGCCAAUUGGAGAGAGAAGGAAAUACCCUAGCCAGCCUUUUACAUAUCAGAAUAAGGAAAUGAGUCUCCAAAUAAUCAAAGUCACAGUAAUUGUUUUGGGUUUAAAGGGAAUCACUGGAGUUGUCACCCACAUUGGAGCCCUAAAAUCAUACCACCUGUCUCGUUUAUUUGUUUGUUCUUUUUUUUUUUUUUUUUUUUUUUUUUGGUACCGAGGGUUGAACUCAAGACUGUGCUUGCCAGGCAGGUGCUUGUUCCGCUGAGCCAAAUCCCCAGCCCACCUGUCUCAUUUAUUUAAGCCUCUGCCGUACACUUGUUUGGGAGAUUGGAGAUCUAGGCCAGGUCCCUGGUAGGAGGGCAUGAAGAUGGUGUGAGUGCUGUACUCACCUGAGAGGUGCAGCCUGCUCACAAUAAAAGGCAGAUGAGAAGGGACUGAUUGCUGGUUCUCUGAAGGAGCUCCAGUCUCCGCCUUCAGCUCGGACAUUGUCUCUUAGCUUUGGGCACAGAUUGUUCGGCUUCCACUUGGGACUGUUCAGCCUUCCAGCGUAGACUCUUUCUUUGUCUUUUUGAGACAGAGUCUCGCUAUGCAGGUCAGGCUGGUCUUGAGCUCACUUUGUAGCCCAGGUUGGUCUCAAACUUGUACGGAUCCUCUUGCCUCAGCCUCCCAAGUGCUACACCACACCCAUCCGGGCAUAGAUUCUUUGGCGUUCCAUCGCAGACCUAUUGGCCUCCUGAUACGGACUCACACAGGACAGCGCAGUGAGGUCUAGCCCUUGGGCUGUCCCCUUCAGCCUCUACUGUGCAGCCACCCUGAGCACAAUCCCUCAUCCAACUUUGUGGCUGACCAUUGUAAGCCAAUCCUGUAAUUUCUUAUACAUUUGUAUAUCUUGUGUUAUAUCCGUUUCUCUGGUAAACCUUGACUGAUAUAGAGGCUCAGCAGUGGCUAAUCCCCUAAGGGAUGGGAGUCUGCAGGAGGGGUCAGCCUUAGUACUGCAAUCCCGUCCACGGCUGCCAGGAGGCAGCAGAGCACUCUAUGCACCGAGGGGUGUAGUUCCGCCCAUGGUCACUGGGGGCGAUAGGGCUCUCUGCUCUGCUUUGUAGGGCCAGGAUCCCCACUAGGUUUUUCUGGGGGAAGGAGAGAGGUAGUGGGCAUCCAUGGAAGUGAAGAUUUCUUCCCAGAGUCGACUGAGGCACAACUUCUGCUGCACCUGUGCUCUGGGCAUCCCUCUGUCCUGCCUGCAUGGUACUGUUUCUUAUGCCGCUGGCCUGCCGGGCUCCUGGGCCAGCGCUGUCCACUGGGACUGGCGCUUGGUCCCUGCAGCGUGGAUAGAUACUAGGGCGGGAGAUCCAAAGAGAGAUGGAGGGGGCCUUCGAGGGACAUGUGGAUCCAUACCAUGCUGUUAAGUGGUAGCAACCACAAUGAGGCUCGGGAAGGAGCUGCUGAGGAGCAGGGCAGGACAUAGAUCCUGCGAGGGAAAUGUUUAAAAUGAUACCAGAGGUCCCUUGAUGGUCUCAAGCAGCCUCGGAGGCACCUCACCACCUCCCCAUACCCUCACUAGUAGAAACUGCAGCUAACAUGGAUGGAGCCCUUAUUCUGUGCUAGCCUCACGGUCAGAUACAUCAUUAUGUCCACUUUAUAGAUGAAUACACUGAGGCCAGAGGUUAAAUGACUUGUCUGGCUCACACAGGCGGUGGUACAACAGAAUAUGAGCUAAGUGUGCUGACUUGCACCACCUCAGCCCCCUGCACUGCCCUGGCUUCUGGCCCCAGGGUGACAGAGAAGGGUCCAAGACAGGGCUUGAAGCCCAAAUGAUACACUCCUAGCCCGCACAGCUAACCAUUUCUGGGUUGUCUAGGGGCUGUUCUUUCCCCUGCCUCCCUUUCCCUGCUGUCUGUUCUCGGGCAGCCUCCAUCAUCCAGGACUAAGACCGGGGGUGGCUGAGAGUGGUGGCCAGAGCAGAGGCUGGUUCAGAUGGAUGGGUAUGACUGGUGCCAGCCACCAGCCGCCUGACCUGUGCCUGCACCUGGCGACCUGUGGCCUGGCCUUUGGUGCAGACCAAUGGGGGUGACGGGGUGGGGAGGGAGCUGGCUGUGAAACGCAGAUGCCAUCGCCAGCAGGCUGUGGAGCUGCUUUGCCACAGGCUCCUGGUCAGUAGGCACAGGGCUGAGGGGUUCUCCUGUGGAAACCUCCACUCCGCCAGGCAAGGCCUAUUCUAGUUCCACGCGGUUUCCAGCUGCAUCAUCUCACUUAUCUCCACCAUCACCCUGAACUGUCUCUGCCGCCUGUCACACUGUUCCCAUCACCCCCUCAUCUCACUCAACUGAUCAACCGAUUGACUGCAGUACUGGAGACUGAACCCAGGGUCUUUUUUUUGUUUUGUUUUUUUUCCUUUUUAUCGGUACCGGGGAUCAAACUCAUAACUGUCUGCUUGCAAGGCAGGCGCUUAUGCCGCUGAGCUAAAUCCCCAGCCCCGUGAACCCAGGGUCUUUGCACUGAACUCACUGUGUAGCCCAGGCUGGCCUCACACUCAAGGUAAUCCUCCUGCCUUGGCCUCCAGAGUGCUGGGAUUAUAGGUGUGUGCCAUCACGCCUGGCAACCUUUCAUUUCUUGCCUAUUUCAUCUGGUCACUGCUCUCCUAUCUCUUAUCUCCUAUUGUCACUCUCAUCUCUAAGUCUUGUAUAAUAGGAAAAUUAUCCACAAGCAGAAAACUGGAAAGCCUAAAUGUGGAACAAUAUGGAAUUGACUUAUGUCCUGUAUUUAAUACAGGGUUGACGUAAGUUGUGAUGAAUUUAUACCAUGAAAUAAUUCUGAGGCAGCAAAUAUUUGAGCACCAGUCUCUGCCAGGCUCGACUAUGUCAAUGGCAAAAAUUAUUGAUGGUGAGCUAACUUAAACUCACCCCACUGGUCCUCUUCCCAUGGCAGUGAAAUGACGGUGGCAUAGAAGGGAACACAUCCAUGCCAGGGUUUAGAAUGGGUAGGGAGGUGGCAGGGCGGUGCCUCCAGCAGCUACCACAAUGAAGCCCUGGCUCUUCAUACCAAAUAUGGACAAUCAGCGCCCAGCAGGUGUUUGAAAGAAAUUGGCAGUACGAAGGAGCUAGGCCAGGAUCGAGGUGAUCCCAGAAGAACUCAGAGACUAGAAGACUGCAUCCACCGCUGGGUGUGGGUGUGCACACCUCUGAGCCCCGCAGCAACAGCAGUGCCCCGGACUGGCCCGGUUCCUGUUUAUAGAACAGACUGUGGACUUCCAGGAGAACAUGGCGGACAGAGGCAGCAGCUACAGAGGCUCUCUGAAAGACCCAGCUUAGAAUUCAGGAAUGGUGCGGAGUAAGGAAUCAUAAGCAAGGGGAGAUAUGCCCUGCUGACCCAAGAAUGAACUUGACUGAGAGAAACCAACUGGGAAUGCAAUCCUGGUGCUAUAACAGGAACAGUUUUAAAAGCCUCAGUGUGGAAGCUGGAGCCUGCGCCAUUGGAAGCUGCGAUUUGGGUUUCCCGCCGCCGCUGCUGCGUCUACAUCGGCUCUGCAGGGAGAGAGAUGCACGAAAGCUCUGAGAACGGGAAUCGGUGAACAGAGUUGAAAGCAGGACGGGCGGGGAGCUGUGCAUUGACUUGCGGUGAGUGAGAGAAACUGGGACUCUUCCACGGUCUAGGAGACUCCAACAGAGGACAUCCUGGGACCAGGCAGACUUACGGGAACAGGGCACUGCAGUGACUUCAGUCACAUAUUCCCCUCUCAAGCGGGAUUGGUGAGCAGUGCCUAGCCUACAUGACACUGCUGGCUGAGACCCAGUAGGCUAGCACAGCCCAGGUCCCAGCUCCUGAAGGUAGAUUGACCUGGAGGGGUGGGCCACACAUAGGCUGCCUGGUCUGCAACUUCCUGGUACGCUGCGGUGGGCAGGAACACCUAGCUAGCGCAAUUCAAUCAGACUGUGGCCAACAGGGAAGGAGGCUGGGCCUCCUAUAUACGCUUGCAUAUAUAAGGAACAAAGAAUAUGGGAAGAGGCAGCAACAAGAAAGGGUCCUCAGCCCCCAAUCCUGAGAAAGAGGCAAUAGCAGACACAGCACCAAUAGAUAUAAAGCACUAUCUCCAGAGCCUCAUAGACAAGUUCAGGAAUGAAGUUAUUAAUGACUUGAAGCUAGACAUAAGCAGAAUAGUUAGAGAAAUGCUAAGCACCGCCCAAGAAAAAACAGAUGGUGGAAUGGAAGAACAGAAAAAGAGGGGAGAAUUGUUUGAUGGAGAAAAUAGAGAAAGCAUAGAAUAUGUGAAGCAGGUUCAAAGAGAUUAUCAGGAAACUAAAAACUCUAUUGAAAACUGGCAUAACAGCUUGAAAGAAACUAAGGACAGAUUAUCUGAACUGGAGGGCAGAUUUGUAAUAUGGGAGCAUGAAAUGAAAAACUUCUUAAAAAUAACAAAGAAACAGCAAUAAUACAAAGGCUAGAAGAUGAUAAGAGGAUCUAUAACUUAAGAAUUAAGAACAUAAAAGAAGAAGUAGGGACACAAACAAAUGAUCUACAAAAGCUACUCACAGAAAUAAUCCAGGAGAAUUUUCCUAAUUUAGCAAAAGAUAAAGAUACUCAGUUGUAUGAAGCAUACAGGAUCCCAGCCACCUACAACCCAAACAGAGCAACACCCAGGCAUCUAAUAAUUAAAAUUCCAGAAAUCCAAUACAAGAACAGAAUAUUAAAAGUCAUCAGAGACAAGAAACAGAUCACUUACAAGGGAAUACCCAUUAGAAUUACAGCAGAUUUCUCGGCACAAACCAUCAAAUCACGAAGAGCAUGGGGGGAAAUAAUUCAAGCUUUGAAAGAUAAUAACCUCCAGCUAAGAUUGAUAUAUCCUGCACAACUGUCCCUGGAAAUUGAUGGAAAAACAAGGUGCUUCCAGGAUAAAGAAGAACUAGGGGAAUAUGCAACCACCAAUUCAACUCUACAGAGAAUACUGCAGGAUAUUCUAAAAAAGAAAAAUACAAAGAAUUCAGAAAUAGUGGCAGAGAGGCCACAAUGAAUGGAGCAGAAAAGAAAAUGAAGACAAACUGACAACUAAUGACAGAAAAAGAGCUCAACAGAAAUGAAGCAGAGAAGAUUGGAUGAUAGGAACAGCUAUUUUGGAGAAAAUGACAUCUUGUUAGGUAAUACUGAUUUAGUAUCAUCUUGUUUUGAAGUCUCAUCAAGCUUUUGUUCUUCUGUCUCCAUUGGUCUAAACAGGUGGUAUCUUAUUGAAUUUUAUUAUAUAUGAUAGUAUAAUAUAAGCAAAACCUUUUAUAGACAAGGAGAUUAUGCAGACACCAUUGUUCAUUUUCUGUUAGUUGAUUCUAAAUACCCUGUAAUACUGUCAUUCUCUUAAAUGGUUUUACAUUGUUUUGAUAUAUUUGAUGCUACAGUAUAUGAAUUUAUACUCAAAGAUUUCAAGGAAAGAGACAAUAUGGUAACUACUUUUAUGUUGGGAUUAUCUUGUGGUGAAACACUAUUUUGCUUAAAUGGUUAUGUCUUGAUCUGUGCUGUUUUGCUGUUAUGCCCUCUUUUAUCUCAAUCUCCAUUUUAUUAUUUACUUUUUUAAUUUUAUCCUUUUAAUUAAGGGAAAAAUAAAAAAAAUAGCAGGAUAUAUUAUAGUGACCCACUUUGACUUUCCAUUAUCUUGAUUUAAAGCUCUGUAUUGCUCUCACCAUCUUGUUUUGACUGAUGUUCCUCUAUUCUGUUUUGCUUGAUAGUACCAGGUUCGAAAGUUUAGGCAACAUCUGUGAAAAUAGUGGGAUUCAUUAUGACGCCCAUUCUGGUUGACUAUUAUCUACUUUUGAAGACCUAUAAUGUCUCCAAUGUUUUGGUUUUGUUCUUUACUGUUUUGUUCAAUUUUAUUAGAACUGAUGAUAUAGGCAAUUCUUUUUGAGAUAGCGGGAGGCAUUAUGGUAACCAUUGUUGAUCACCUUGUAUUAUGUUUUUACAUUAUCUAUUAUAUCCACCCUUUUGAUUUGACUGACUCUGUUCUGUUAUGUCACAUUUGGUUCUACUUUCUUCCAAAAAAGUAAUAAGAAUUGUGGGAGCAACAAAACCCAAAAUGUGUAAAUGUCAUUGUACAAAAGAGAGGAAAAGAAAGUGCUCUAAAUAAUAUAACUGCAUGUAUAUUUAAGUGUAUAAGAUAGAUAAUUAUAUUACUGAGUUUUGUUGGAUCAUUGAACAGAACAGUUUGCAGUCUCACUGUUGGAAUGUCCACUUUAUUAGCUUUAAUUUUGUAACUUGAACAAUUAUUUCUAAGAUGACAAUAUGUAAUCCAUUAACUGGUGAUUUCCUACUGUUUUUUUCUGUAAAUCUGUAUAACUUGUACCCUUUCUCUGCUUUUUUUUUUUCUUUUUCUCCUUAAAUAAAAUUAAAAAAAAAAAAAAAAAAAAAGAACAGACUGUUCCAGGCCAAGGGGCACUCAGCUCCAGAGUCACAAGGAACCUUAUGGACCAGUGACCACGGACUAAGACACAUGACCUCACCCCGGAGCAGUUUGCUUCCAGCUUCCUCGUUCUCUGUCUCCUUCUGAGCCCUCUGUUGUGGAGGAGAGCUGUGUCCUGCACCUUGGAGUCAGUGAUCCCUCUUGGGGCUCCAUCUCAAAUGAAGCCUGUCAGGGUUGGGAUUUAGCUCAGUGGCACAGCGCCUGCCUGGCAGGUGCGAGGUCAUGAGUUCCUUCCUUGGUACCUAAAUAAAUAAAAAAAAAUGCAAGUCUGUCCUUGCUGCAA
This is a long non-coding RNA of Cavia porcellus (domestic guinea pig), 10291 nucleotides long. RefSeq lists it as uncharacterized. NCBI's taxonomy places the organism in Eukaryota, Metazoa, Chordata, Mammalia, Rodentia, Caviidae. The record is from RefSeq and is a predicted model, not a curated record. The transcript has 2 exons.